This 778-nucleotide ribosomal RNA is filed under the name uncultured Streptomyces sp. RNAcentral describes it as "bacterial SSU rRNA". It matches the Rfam family "Bacterial small subunit ribosomal RNA", at positions 88 to 850 of the family's 1533-position model. Lineage: Bacteria; Bacillati; Actinomycetota; Actinomycetes; Kitasatosporales; Streptomycetaceae. The record is from RNAcentral.
GAUGUUAGCGGCGGACGGGUGAGUAACACGUGGGUAACCUGCCUGUAAGACUGGGAUAACUCCGGGAAACCGGGGCUAAUACCGGAUGCUUGUUUGAACCGCAUGGUUCAAACAUAAAAGGUGGCUUCGGCUACCACUUACAGAUGGACCCGCGGCGCAUUAGCUAGUUGGUGAGGUAAUGGCUCACCAAGGCGACGAUGCGUAGCCGACCUGAGAGGGUGAUCGGCCACACUGGGACUGAGACACGGCCCAGACUCCUACGGGAGGCAGCAGUAGGGAAUCUUCCACAAUGGGCGAAAGUCUGACGGAGCAACGCCGCGUGAGUGAUGAAGGUUUUCGGAUCGUAAAGCUCUGUUGUUAGGGAAGAACAAGUACCGUUCGAAUAGGGCGGUACCUUGACGGUACCUAACCAGAAAGCCACGGCUAACUACGUGCCAGCAGCCGCGGUAAUACGUAGGUGGCAAGCGUUGUCCGGAAUUAUUGGGCGUAAAGGGCUCGCAGGCGGUUUCUUAAGUCUGAUGUGAAAGCCCCCGGCUCAACCGGGGAGGGUCAUUGGAAACUGGGGAACUUGAGUGCAGAAGAGGAGAGUGGAAUUCCACGUGUAGCGGUGAAAUGCGUAGAGAUGUGGAGGAACACCAGUGGCGAAGGCGACUCUCUGGUCUGUAACUGACGCUGAGGAGCGAAAGCGUGGGGAGCGAACAGGAUUAGAUACCCUGGUAGUCCACGCCGUAAACGAUGAGUGCUAAGUGUUAGGGGGUUUCCGCCCCUUAGUGCUGCA